AACGAACGCUGGCGGCAUGCCUAACACAUGCAAGUCGAACGAGACCUUCGGGUCUAGUGGCGCACGGGUGCGUAACGCGUGGGAACCUGCCCUUAGGUUCGGAAUAACUCCCCGAAAGGGGUGCUAAUACCGGAUAAUGUCUUCGGACCAAAGAUUUAUCGCCUUUGGAUGGGCCCGCGUUGGUUUAGCUAGUUGGUAGGGUAAAAGCCUACCAAGGCGACGAUCCAUAGCUGGUCUGAGAGGAUGAUCAGCCACACUGGGACUGAGACACGGCCCAGACUCCUACGGGAGGCAGCAGUGGGGAAUAUUGGACAAUGAGCGAAAGCCUGAUCCAGCAAUGCCGCGUGAGUGAUGCAGGCCUUAGGGUUGUAAAGCUCUUUUACCCGGGAUGAUAAUGACAGUACCGGGAGAAUAAGCUCCGGCUAACUACGUG
Molecule: ribosomal RNA, 433 nt
Filed under: uncultured bacterium
Lineage: Bacteria
Description: partial 16S ribosomal RNA
Rfam family: Bacterial small subunit ribosomal RNA
Source: RNAcentral